Molecule: long non-coding RNA, 509 nt
Organism: Marmota monax (woodchuck)
Lineage: Eukaryota; Metazoa; Chordata; Mammalia; Rodentia; Sciuridae
Exons: 4
Source: RefSeq, a predicted model, not a curated record
AUUACAUCUGUCUCACAAGAAGCCACUAUGAAUUAGUGAAGGAAAAGAAUAACCGAAGACGGUUGAAAAUAGACAGGGCCACACUGAUUUGCUGAGAUCCUUCUGCCUCAACCACCUGAGUCACUGGGAUUACAGGUGUUUUGCAUUUGGAACCAUGGGACAAAAUAGCAGAGCCUAAUACUACAUUGACUUGGAUGCGACGGUCACCAUCCCUUCUGCCCUGUAUGUGGCUCAACUUUAUCACCGAAUUAGUAAAAUAAGUGGGAUUACGAGAGCAAGCCAGGAAUGAUCAAAGGCAUCCAUCACGGCCCCAGUGUGGCCCAGCCCGUCCAACUGGACAGAACCCAGCUCUCCAAGAAAUUCAUCAGUGACUACCUCUGGAGGGUGGUAGACACCGAGUGGCAACCAGGAGCCUUGUGACCUGCAGAAUCGGCCUUGGCGGGUGGUGGGUAGCUCCGUGAUGAUCAGUUUAAAAAUAAAUGUCUGUAUAUAUUCUGCUGUCGUGUACA